RNAcentral lists this ribosomal RNA (429 nucleotides) under Bacteroidota bacterium. RNAcentral's name for it is "Bacteroidetes bacterium partial 16S ribosomal RNA". It matches the Rfam family "Bacterial small subunit ribosomal RNA", at positions 355 to 776 of the family's 1533-position model. Lineage: Bacteria; Pseudomonadati; Bacteroidota. The record is from RNAcentral.
UAGGGAAUCUUCGGCAAUGGGGGGAACCCUGACCGAGCAACGCCGCGUGAGUGAAGAAGGUUUUCGGAUCGUAAAGCUCUGUUGUUAAGGAAGAACGAGUGUGAGAAUGGAAAGUUCAUGCUGUGACGGUACUUAACCAGAAAGGGACGGCUAACUACGUGCCAGCAGCCGCGGUAAUACGUAGGUCCCGAGCGUUGUCCGGAUUUAUUGGGCGUAAAGCGAGCGCAGGCGGUUAGAAAAGUCUGAAGUGAAAGGCAGUGGCUCAACCAUUGUAGGCUUUGGAAACUGUUUAACUUGAGUGCAGAAGGGGAGAGUGGAAUUCCAUGUGUAGCGGUGAAAUGCGUAGAUAUUAGGAGGAAUACCGGUGGCGAAGGCGACUUUCUGGCCAUAAUCUGACGCUGAGGUACGAAAGCGUGGGUAGCAAACAGG